This 482-nucleotide ribosomal RNA is filed under the name uncultured bacterium. Its description in RNAcentral is "bacterial SSU rRNA". It matches the Rfam family "Bacterial small subunit ribosomal RNA", at positions 38 to 507 of the family's 1533-position model. The record is from RNAcentral.
GGCGGCAGGCNUNACACAUGCAAGUCGAGCGGCAGCGGGAAAGUAGCUUGCUACUUUUGCCGGCGAGCGGCGGACGGGUGAGUAAUGCCUGGGAAAUUGCCCANUCGAGGGGGAUAACAGUUGGAAACGACUGCUAAUACCGCAUACGCCCUACGGGGGAAAGCAGGGGACCUUCNGGCCUUGCGCGAUUGGAUAUGCCCAGGUGGGAUUAGCUAGUUGGUGAGGUAAUGGCUCACCAAGGCGACGAUCCCUAGCUGGUCUGAGAGGAUGAUCAGCCACACUGGAACUGACACACGGCCCACACUCCUACGGGAGGCAGCAGUGGGGAAUAUUGCACAAUGGGGGAAACCCUGAUGCAGCCAUGCCGCGUGUGUGAAGAAGGCCUUCGGGUUGUAAAGCACUUUCAGCGAGGAGGAAAGGUCAGUANCUAAUAUCUGCUGACUGUGACGUUACUCNCANAAGAAGCACCGGCUAACUCCGUG